Molecule: ribosomal RNA, 508 nt
Filed under: uncultured bacterium
Lineage: Bacteria
Description: partial 16S ribosomal RNA
Rfam family: Bacterial small subunit ribosomal RNA
Source: RNAcentral
AUUGAACGCUGGCGGCAGGCCUAACACAUGCAAGUCGAGCGGCAGCGGGAAAGUAGCUUGCUACUUUUGCCGGCGAGCGGCGGACGGGUGAGUAAUGCCUGGGAAAUUGCCCAGUCGAGGGGGAUAACAGUUGGAAACGACUGCUAAUACCGCAUACGCCCUACGGGGGAAAGCAGGGGACCUUCGGGCCUUGCGCGGUUGGAUAUGCCCGGGUGGGAUUAGCUAGUUGGUGAGGUAAUGGCUCACCAAGGCGACGAUCCCUAGCUGGUCUGAGGGGAUGAUCAGCCACACUGGAACUGAGACACGGUCCAGACUCCUACGGGAGGCAGCAGUGGGGAAUAUUGCACAAUGGGGGAAACCCUGAUGCAGCCAUGCCGCGUGUGUGAAGAAGGCCUUCGGGUUGUAAAGCACUUUCAGCGAGGAGGAAAGGUUGAUGCCUAAUACGCAUCAACUGUGACGUUACUCGCAGAAGAAGCACCGGCUAACUCCGUGCCAGCCGCCGCGGUAA